This 71-nucleotide transfer RNA is filed under the name Pseudomonadota bacterium. RNAcentral's name for it is "tRNA-Gln". It matches the Rfam family "tRNA". From Rfam's summary of the family: Transfer RNA (tRNA) molecules are approximately 80 nucleotides in length. Their secondary structure includes four short double-helical elements and three loops (D, anti-codon, and T loops). RNAcentral also lists the same sequence under 1 other name. The record is from RNAcentral. Lineage: Bacteria; Pseudomonadati; Pseudomonadota.
UCCGGGGUUGUGUAAUGGUAGCACAAGGGACUUUGGAUCCCUUUGUCCUGGUUCGAAUCCAGGCCCCGGAG